AUCCAUCUGACGAGACCUAAAUGGGACGGAACGCGCGUCAAACUGGAU
RNAcentral lists this non-coding RNA (48 nucleotides) under Schistosoma mansoni. The record is from RNAcentral. Lineage: Eukaryota; Metazoa; Platyhelminthes; Trematoda; Strigeidida; Schistosomatidae.